GGACUACUGGGGUUUCUAAUCCCGUUUGCUCCCCUAGCUUUCGCGCCUCAGCGUCAGUAUCGGGCCAGAUAGGCGCCUUCGCCACCGGUGUUCCUCCUGAUAUCUACGCAUUUCACCGCUACACCAGGAAUUCCCCUAUCCUCUCCCGUACUCAAGCCAAGCAGUUUGGGAUGCAGAUCCCCGGGUGAGCCGGGGGCUUUCACAUUCCACUUACUUGACCGCCUACACGCCCUUUACGCCCAGUGAUUCCGAACAACGCUUGCUCCCCCCGUGUUACCGCGGCGGCUGGCAC
RNAcentral lists this ribosomal RNA (292 nucleotides) under uncultured bacterium. RNAcentral describes it as "partial 16S ribosomal RNA". The record is from RNAcentral.